This is a long non-coding RNA of Orcinus orca (killer whale), 11605 nucleotides long. RefSeq lists it as uncharacterized. The record is from RefSeq and is a predicted model, not a curated record. The transcript has 2 exons. NCBI's taxonomy places the organism in Eukaryota, Metazoa, Chordata, Mammalia, Artiodactyla, Delphinidae.
UUAUAUCUUCUUCUUGGAUCUAUCCCUUGAUCAUUAUGUAGUGUCCUUUGUCUCUUCUAAUAGUCUUUAUUUUAAAGUCUAUUUUGUCUGAUAUGAGAAUUGCUACUCCUGCUUUCUUUUGGUUUCCAUUUGCAUGGAAUAUCUUUCUCCAUCCCCUUACUUUCAGUCUGUAUGUAUCUAGGUCUGAAGUGGGUCUCUUGUAGACAGCAUAUAUAUAUGGGUCUUGUUUUUGUAUCCAUUCAGCCAAUCUGUGUCUUUUGGUGGGAGCAUUUAGUCCAUUUACAUUUAAGGUAAUUAUCAAUAUGUAUGUUCCUAUUCCCAUUUUCUUAAUUGUUUUGGGUUCGUUAUUGUAGGUCUUUUCCUUCUCUUGUGUUUCUUGCCUAGAGAAGCUCCUUUAGCAUUUGUUGUAAAGCUGGUUUGGUGGUGCUGAACUCUCUCAACUUUUGCUUGUCUGUAAAGGUUUUAAUUUCUCCAUCAAAUCUGAAUGAGAUCCUCGCUGGGUAGAGUAAUCUUGGUUGUAGGUUUUUCCCUUUCAUCACUUUAAAUAUAUCCUGCCAGUUCCUUCUGGCAUGCAGAGUUUCUGCUGAACGAUCAGCUGUUAACCUUAUGGGGAUUCCCUUGGGUGUUAUUUGUUGUUUUUCCCUUGCUGCUUUUAAUAUGUUUUCUUUGUAUUUAAUUUUUGACAGUUUGAUUAAUAUGUGUCUUGGCAUAUUUCUCCUUGGAUUUAUGCUGUAUGGGACUCUCUGUGCUUCCUGGACUUGAUUAACUAUUUCCUUUCCCAUAUUAGCAAAGUUUUCAACUAUAAUCUCUUCAAAUAUUUUCUCAGUCCCUUUCCUUUUCUCUUCUUUUGGAACCCCUAUAAUUCGAAUGUUGUUGUGUUUAAUGUUGUCCCAGAGGUCUCUGACAGUGUCCUCAAUUCUUUUCAUUCUUUUUUCUUUAUUCUGCUCUGCAGUAGUUAUUUCCAAUAUUUUAUCUUCCAGGUCACUUAUCCGUUUUUCUGCAUCAGUUAUUCUGCUAUUGAUCCCUUCUAGAGAAUUUUUAAUUUCAGUUAUUGUGUUGUUCCUCAUUGUUUGUUUGCUCUUAUUUCUUCUAGGUCCUUGUUAAACGUUUCUUGUAUUUUCUCCAUUCUAUUUCCAAGAUUUUGGAUCAUCUUUACUAUCAUUAUUCUGAAUUCUUUUUCCAGUAGACUGCCUAUUUCCUCUUCAUUUGUUAGGUCUGGUGGGUUUUUACCUUGCUCCUUCAUCUGCUGUGUGUUUCUUUGUCUUCUCAUUUUGCUUAACUUACUGUGUUUGGGGUCUACUUUUCACAGGCUGUAGGUUCAUAUUUUCCUUGUUUUUCGUGUCUGCCCCCAGUGGCUAAGGUUUAUUUAGUGGGUUGUGUAGGCUUCCUGGUGGAGGGGAGUAGUGCCUGUGUACUGGUGGAUGAGGCUGGAUCGUGUCUUUCUGGUUGGCAGGUCCAUGUCUUGUGAUGUGUUUUGGGGUGUCUGUGAGCUUAUUAUGAUUUUAGGCCGCCUCUAUGCUAAUGGGUGGUGUUGUGUUCCUGUCUUGCUAGUUGUUUGGCAUAGGAUGUCCAGCACUGUAGCUUUCUGGUCGUUGAGUGAAGCUGGGUCUUGGCGUUGAGAUGGAGAUCUCUGGGAAAUUUUCGCCAUUUGUUAUUAUGUGGAGCUGGCAGGUCUCUGGUGGACUGAUGUCCUGAACUGGGCUCUCCCACCUCAGAGGCACAGCCCUGAUGUCUGACUGGAGCACUAAGAGCCUGUCAUCCACAUGGCUCAGAAUAAAAGUGAGAAAGAAAGGAAGAAAAAGAUAAAAUAAAAUAAAAAGUUAUUAAAAUAAAAACCAAUAAAUAAUUAUUUAAAAAAAAAUUAAAGUAAUUAAAAAAAAGAAAGAAGGAACGAUGAGAACAACCAAACCAAAAAACAAAUCCACCAAUGAAAACAAGCGCUGAAAACUGUACUAAAAAAAAAAAAAAGGACCGACAGAACCCUAGGACAAGUGGUAAAAGCAAAGCUAUACCGACAAAAUCACACACAGAAGCAUACACAUACACACUCACAAAAAGAGAAAAAGGCAAAAAUAUAUGUAUAUCAUUGCUCCCAAAGUCCACCUCCUCAAUUUGGGAUGAUUCGUUGUCUAUUCAGGUAUUCCACCGAUGCAGGGUACAUCAAGUUGACUGUGGAGAUUUAAUCCACGGCUCCUGAGGCUGCCGGGAGAGAUUUCCCUUUCUUGUCUUUGUUAGCACAGCUCCUGGGGUUCAGCUUUGGAUUUGGCCCCGCCUCUGCAUGUAGGUCAUUUGAGGGCAUCUUUUCUUCACUCAGACAGGAUGGGGUUAAAGGAGCAGCUGAUUCCGAGGCUCUGGCUCACUCGGGCCGGGUGGAGGGAGGGGCAUGGAGUGCGUGGCGAGCCUGCGGCAGCAGAGGCCAUCGUGACGUUGCACCAGCCUGAGGUGCGCUGUGCGUUCUCCUGGUGAAGUUGUCCCUGGAUCACAGGACCCUGUCAGUGGCGGGCUGCACAGGCUCCCGGUAGGGAUGUGUGUGUGGAUAGUGACCUGUGCUCGCACACAGGCUUCUUGUUGGCGGCAGCAGCAGCCUUAGCGUCUCAUGCCCGUUUCUGGCGUCCACGCUGAUAGCUGCGGCUCACGUCUCUGGAGCUCCUGUAAGCAGCGCUCUGAAUCCCCUCUCCUCGCACACCAGGAAACAAAGAGGCAAGCAAAAGUAUCUUGCCUCUUUGGCAGUUCCAGACCUUUUCCCAGACUCCCUCCUGGCUAGCUGUGGUACACUAGCCCCCUUCAGGCUGUGUUCACGCAGCCAACACCAGUCCUCUCCCUGGGAUCCCACUGAAGCCGGAGCCUCAGCUCCCAGCGCCCACCCGUCCCGGCUGGUGAGCAGACAAGCCUCUCGGGCUGGUGAGUGCUGGUCGACACCUAUCCUCUGUGUGGGAAUCUCUCCGCUUCGCCCUCCGCACCCCUGUUGCUGCGCUCUCCUCCGUGGCUCUGAAGAUUCCCCGCUCUGUCACAUGGAGUCUUCACCCACAAAGGGCCUUCCUAGUGUGUGGAAACCUUUCCUGCUUCACAGCUCCCUCCCGCUUGUGCAGGUCCCGUCCCUAUUAUUUUGUCUCUGUUUUACCUUUUCUCUUUUGCCCUACCCAGGUAUGUGGGGAGUUUCUUGCCUUUUUGGAGGUCUGAGGUCUUGUGCCAGCGUUCAGUAGGUGUUCUGUAGGAAUUGUUCCACAUGUAGACGUAUUUCUGAUGUAUUUGUGGGGAGGAAGGUGAUCUCCACAUCUUACUCUUCCACCAUCUUGAAGCUCCUCCUAGCAUUUGGCUUAUGUAUUGAGGUGCUCCUAUGUUGGGUGCAUAUAUAUUUAUAAUUGUUAUUUCUUCUACUUGGAUUGAUCCCUUGAUCAUUAUGUAGUGUCCUUCCUUGUCUCUUGUAACAUUCUUUAUUUUAAAGUCUAUUUCAUCUGAUAUGAGUAUUGCUACUCCAGCUUUCUUUUGAUUUCCAUUUGCAUGAAGUAUCUUUUUCCAUCCCCUCAUUUUCAGUCUGUAUGUGUCCUUAGGUCUGAAGUGGGUGUCUUUUAGACAGCAUUUAGAUGGGUAUUGUUUUUGUAUCCACUCUGUGAGCCUGUGUCUUUUGGUUGGAGCAUUUAAUCCAUUUACAUUUAAGGUAAUUAUUGAUAUGUAUGUUCCUAUUACCAUUUUCUUAAUUGUUUUGGGUUUGUUUUUGUAGGUCCUUUUCUUCUCUUGUGUUUCCUACUUGGAGAAGUUCCUUUAGCAUUUGUUGUACAGCUGGUUUGGUGGUGCUGAAUCCUCUUAGCUUUUGCUUGUCUGUAAAACUUUUGAUUUGUCUGUCAAAUCUGAAUGAGAUCCUUGCCAGGUAGAGUAAUGUUGGUUGUAGGUUCUUCUCUUUCAUCAUUUUAAAUAUAUCAUGCCACUUUCUCUGGCUUAAAGAGUUUCUGCUGAGAAAUCAGCUGUUAACCUUAUGAGAGUUCCCUUGCAUGUUAUUUGUCAUUUUUCCUUUGUUGCUUUUAAUAAUUCUUCUAUGUCUUUAAUUUUUGUCAGUUUGAUUACUGUGUGUCUCAGCCUGUUUCUCCUUGGGUUUAUCCUGCCUGGGAUGCUCUGAGCUUCCUGGACUUGGGUGGCUAUUUCCUUUCCCAUGUUAGGGAAGUUUUUGACUAUAAUCUCCUCAAAUAUUUUCUCAGGUCCUUAUUCUCUCUCUUCUUCUUCUGGGACCUCUAUAAUGCGAAUGUUGUUGUGUUUAAUGUUGUUCCAGACGUCUCUUAGGCUGCCUUCAUUUCUUUUCAUUCCUUUUUUGUUUAUUCUGUUCCACAGCAGUGAAUUCCACCAUUCUGUCUUCCAGGUCACUUAUCCAUUCUUCUGCCUCAGUUAUUCUGCUAUUGAUUCCUUUUAGUGUAUUUUUCAUUUCAGUUAUUGUAUUCUUCAUCUCUGUUUGUUUGUUCUUUAAUUCUUCUAGGUCUUUGUUAAACAUUUCUUGCAUCUUCUCGAUCUUUACCUCCAUUCUUUUUCCAAAAUCCUGGAUCAUCUUUACCAUCAUUAUUCUGAAUUCUUUUUCUGGAAGGUUGCCUGUCUCCACUUCAUUUAGUUGUUUUUCUGGGGUUUUAUCUUGUUCCUUCAUCUGGUAUAUAGUCUUGUGCCUUUUCAUUUUGUCUAUCUUUCUGUGAAUGUGGCUUUUGUUCUACAGGCUGCAGUAUUGUAGUUCUUCUUGCUUCUGCUGUCUGCCCUCUGGUGGAUGAGGCUAUCUAAGAGGCUUGUGCAAGCUUCCUGAUGGCAGGGAGUGGUGGUGGGUAGAACUGGGUGUUGCUCCAGUGGGCUGAGCUCAGUAAAACUUUAAUCCGCUUGUCUGCUGAUGGGUGGGGCUGAUUUCCCUUCCUGUUGGUUGUUUGGCCUGAGGUUAGCCAGCACUGGAGGCUGUAGGCUCUUUGGUGGGGCUCAUGGUGGACCCUGGAAGUGCUCACACCAAGGAGUACUUCCCAGAACUUCUGCUGCCAGUGUCCUUGUCCCCAUGGUGAGACACAGCCACCCCCUGCCUCUGCAGGAGACCCUCCAACACUAGCUGGUACUUCUGGUACAGUCUCCUGUGGGGUCACUGCUCCUUCCCCCUGGGUCCUGAUGCACACACUACUUUGUGGGUGCCCUCCAAGAGUGGAGUCUCUGUUUCCCCCAGUCCUGUUGAAGUCCUGCAAUCAAAUCCCGCUAGCCUUCAAAGUCUGAUUCUCUGAGAAUUCCUCCUCCAUUGCCAGACCCCCAGGUUGGGAAGCCUGACAUGGGGCUCAGAACCUUCACUCCAGUGGGUGGACUUCUGUGGUAUAAGUGUUCUCCAGUUUGUGAGUCACCCACCCAGCAGUUAUGGGAUUUGAUUUUAUUGUGAUUGUGCCCCUCCUACCAUCUCACUGCGGCUUCUCCUUUGUCUUUGGAUGUGGGGUAUCUUUUUCGGUGAGUUCCAGUGUUUUCCUGUUAAUGAUUAUUCAUCAGUUAGUGGUGAUUCCCAUGCUUUUGCAAGAGGGGGUGAGUGCAUGUCCUUCUACUCCACCAUCUUGAUCCAAUCUGCCCACCUUUCCUUGAUUAUUAUUUUUUUCUUUGAAAACUGAUCCCUUGCUAAAAUAUAGUUUUGAGCAUGGUAAAAUCACUACUGUCAUAUGAAUGUAACGUAAACGCGUGUGGAAGAUUUUAUUUUUAACUUACUAAUUAAUAAGGGGACUAAUAAAUUAAUGCGAUUCACAGAUUAAAUGUGAAUUUGACUUAUAGAUAUUUAUAUUCUCUUUCAGACAAAAUCUAUGUGGAUCACUAUGAGCAGGAAUUAUUUGCACUGACCUGGACAGGAAACAUUUGCAUUACCAGUAGUUUUCUACAAGUGAAAUUUUAUCCCCCACGGAGUUGUAAGAUAGCUUAGUCAAUCAAACACAAUCAAAGGGGUAUAGUAUCUGAUAACCUUUGGGUCAUGAGACAAUGUUUGGAAUUCAACUGAAAGAACACCCAGUAAUCUCUUUUGCCCAUUUCCAGUGUUUGACAGAAUUUCAUGGUAGGCUUUUAAUGUGAGCAAUGUAAAAGGGUUUUUAUCCAUGAGAUAUAUAGAACGCCUAUAUAUUACUAAGAAAGAGACAACUGACCGAAAAGAAAGAUGGGAAAAGGAUGUUAAACAUGCAAUUUACAAAAUAUCCAAGAAAAAUGAAAAGAGGCUCCACCUCAUUAGUAAUCAAAGAAAUGCAAAUUGAAACUACCAUGAGAUACUAUUUCACACCUACAUGGUAAAAUUUGUAAUAAUUUAAAAGUCGAGCAUCAGCAAGAAUGUGGAGUCCCAGGAAUUCUCAUACACUGGUGGUAGGAGUUUGAAUUGGUAAGCUCACUUUGGAAGGAAUUUUGGCAAAAGCUAGUUAAGUUGAAGAUGUGUGUACCCUAUGACAAGAGUAGGUACAUUCCCCAGAGAAACUCUUGUACACAUCCAUAGAGAGACAUGUACAAAAAUGGUCAUGGCAACCUUAUCUGUAAGAGCGAAUCACUAGAAAUAACCUAAAUGUCCAUCAUUUCAUAGAGAAAAUAAAUGGUAUUGUAUUUCUGUAUUCAUACAAUUAAUACUAUACAGCAUUAAAAUAAAUGAAGUUGAGUUAUAUAUAGCAAUAUGGAUACAUCCCAAAAACGAUGUUGAAUGAAAGAAGCAAGUUGUACAAGAAUCAGUGCAACUUGUUAAAGGUUUAAAACAUGUGAAAACAGUAUUACUACUUGACAAGGACAUAUGUGAUAAAAGUGUAUAAACGUGUGAAAGAGAAUGACACAUACAAACUUCAGGGCAGUGGUUUCCUCUGGGAUGCAGGGAAGGGAGUGAGAUUAGGGAGGGUGACAUCAAUGGUAUCUGAAAUGUUUUAAUUUUUAAUACAAGUGAGGGAUAUGAGGAUGUUUGUUAUACUGUCUUUUGAUACUUUUAUAUGCCUGAAAUAAUAAUAAUACUUGUACUUCAUUUCCCUAUGGUUUAAUAAUUGAGAAAAUAAAGCUUUUCCCCUCACAGUUAGAAAAAAAUUGCACUUCUCUAAAGAACCUCUAAACUACUUGACAAAUGAAACAAAAGCAAUUAGUUGGCCCUUUUUGAGAGUCAGUCCAGUGUACGCAUUAUUCCUUGGAAUUUGGAUCUUAAUUUGAGUGCAGAGGAAGCCACUGAAAGGUAGUUAGCUGAGGGGUGAUCUCAUUCUUGGCUUGCAAGGACUUUUGGAACUUGCUUCCUUCUUUCUUUCCCAUCCUCAUCUGCCUGCCCCAGCUUCAGUUUUUCUUCUCGUAACUUCACACUUCUGGUAGGUACAUGCUGCUACUUCACACAACAGUGCAGUUGCUCAUGGUUUCCUUUGCUUAUGACACCUUUCUCCCUCUUUCUUUCUGGUUAACCAACCCAUGCUCUUCCUUCCACAGCCAGCUCAGGCAAUGUUCUCUUUCCCUUAGGAAGUUUUCCUUGUUCUCUUAAGAUGAGUUAUGUUCACCUCUGAAUUCCCAGAGCUCCCUUGGAUAUUUGUGUCAAAACGUAUUCCGUCUUUGCCAUUCCAGCUCUCAGCAAAGUGCCUGAGUUAGACGUUUAGGAAAGAGGAGUGCUGUUUGAGGAAGAAUGUGUAAACUGUGUGUUUGCUCAAGCCCUCCCCACACUACUGGUUUCUAAUAAUGGCUCAAUGGUCAUAAAGUAACAUUUCAAUGUGAAUUAGCUCCUCUCAGCUUUUAUAAGACUUGGUUAAGAACUUGGAAAAGAGACUCUAAGAAAGGGGUAGGAUGGGGUGGAGGGGAGGAGUGAGGUUCAGAUCACAGUGCUGGGUCUGGACCCAUUGCCACUCAGCAAGCUGGAGAUGGGGUGGAUAAGAACACAAGUCUCUCAACUCCAGGCCAGUGCUUGUCCUUUUGUUCUCCCUUCUGUGGCUUGAGAAAACAGCUGCUCUCUAUCAUCUUAUUCAAAUCUCUUCCAAUACUUGAAACAGGAAAUGACUCUCCAGUUCUGGGUAGUGAACCUGGGUCGCUGAAGCAGGUGGCUUGGAAGAACCUAAGAUAAGAGGCACCGGAGAAUGGACAAACCUCAGGAAAGCAAUAUUAAACUUGAACAGGGUCUCAGAAAGGUUUCUGUAGUUGAAUCAAGUUAUACCAAGUUUGGCUCCAAAGGUCUAGUGACUCUUCUAAACAUACACACACAUCUGGAUAUUGGAUUGAAUCCCAGUAGAUCCAUCCUUGAGGAUCAUCUAGGGACAGACUUUUGCUCAAAAAGGAAAGAAAAGAAUGAUGAAUUAUCACAUAGAUGAUGUGGUCAGGUGUUCAUCAUUAGAAGGCACAAUAAGACAGGGGCCAUAUACAAGAUAAGGCUUCCAUAUCAUCAAGAGAAAUGUGGAUGGUUGUACUUAAUUAUCUUUGAAUCUCAGGGCCAAACCAAGGCCUGGAAUAUGGCAAGUUUUCACUAAGUUUUGCUCAAUGAAGGGAUGAACUAUGGAGAAAUCUCAUGACUGGAGAAAGCCUUAUCAGUCACAUCUCAUAAAUCUGGUUUGGAAGAUUGUUGGUGGCAAAAUAAUAAACAAGACUUCCUGCAAGAGAUUUUGACAUCAAGCUGACCAGAAACAUGCCAGAUCCAUAUUACCAGCUGGAUUAAAACCAAGGAAAGGCUCAACAGCAUUUUUAGUGGUUAAGAAUUAGGGUUUUUAGGCUAUGAUGGUGGCUUUCCAGCAGUGCCCAAUUUAACCAUCCCUUUCCCCCAUAGAAAUACUCCCAAACACAAAAUAAGACUUAAAGUUGCAACAGUCUGGAAGGAAUGACUUCCAUGAAUAAUUUGCAGGUCUUUGGGAUGUUUUUUUCUCUGACCACAUCAUUGAUGGGGUGAGGUUGAGAAAUAACUUACUUUGACUUCAAAAAAAGAACUACAGGGGCUUCCCUGGUGGCACAGUGGCUGAGAGUCCGCCUGCCGAUGCAGGGGACGCGGGUUUGUGUCCUGGUCGGGGAAGAUCCCACAUGCUGCGGAGUGGCUAGGCUCGUGAGCCAUGGCCGCUGAGCCUGUGCGUCUGGAGCCUGUGCUCCACAGCGGGAGAGGCCACAACAGUGAGAGGCCCACGUACCGCAAAAAAAAAAAAAAAAAAAAAAAAAAAAAAAAAAGAACUACAGCACUAGGCUGGAAUGUCUACCUCUGUCCCAGAGUGUCUGGCCUCCCAUUGCUUGGGAACAGCCUUCUGAAGUAGGCACUCACUUCCCACUGUUCCCACUGUCCUCCCUGGCUCUCUUUCUCCAUCCAUUUGGUAACUAUUACUCCCAAUGAUGUACCAUCCUGGGAAGGCAAGUUGGCAGUGGGAAGAGCAUAGGAGGAAGUGUUUUAGGAAUGCAGCACUCUGGGGAAAAUGCUUAAUUAGGGCUAGACAUUUGAAUUUUUAUAAAUUUUUCUUUUUGUAUUAUUUUAAUUUACCAUUGCAAGCACCAAUACUAUUUAACAUUUAUAUCUAACUACAGAGCAAAGGGAGGUGAGUGUCUGAGUAUAAAACUGAUAGCUAAUGUCUUUAUAGCCCUCUAGAAUUUGAAAGAUAAUUUCAGGCUAUUUCAAUCCCCCACCCCACCUUUGCCGUCACCACCAACAAGCUCACAUAUAAGCACUCAUUCCCCCUUUCCCUGACCACGUAGCCAUCAUCCUCUCAGCCACCCUGUGGAGAUAGGUAGUGUUAUAAUCUCUGCUUUGUAAGUGAGAGGACUGAGGCUUAGGGAUGUCAGUAACACAGUUGUUAUGGACUGAAUUUUGUACCCCCUGAAAUUCAUAUUUUUAAUCCCUAACCCAGAAAGUGAUGUUAUUAAGAGGUGGGGCCUUUGGGAGACAAUUAGGUUUAGAUGAGGCCAUAAGAAUAGGGCCCCAUGAUGGGAUUAGUGCCCUUAUAAGAAGAGGAAUAGAUUAGAGUGAGAGGGCUGUCCACCAUGUGAGGACACAGCAAGCAGCAGUCAUCUGCAAGCCAGGAAGAUGGUCUUCAAAAGAACCAAACCUUACUGGUCCCUUGAUCUUAGACUUCUCAGCCCAAAGAACAGUGAGAAAUCAAUCUUUGUUGUUAAAGUCACUCAGUCAGUGGUAUUUUGUUAUAGCAGCCUGAACUAAGAUGCAAGUUCUUAGACCUAGAAGAAUUAAAGACCUAGAAGAGUUAAAGAACAAACAGAGAUGAACGAUACAAUAACUGAAAUGAAAAAUACACUAAAAGGAAUUAAUAGCAGAAUAACUGAGGCAGAAGAACGGAUAAGUGACCUGGAAGACAGAAUGGUGGAAUUCACUGCCGUGGAACAGAAUAAAGAAAAAAGAAUGAAAAGAAAUGAAGACAGCCUAAGAGACCUCUGGGACAACAUUAAAUGCACCAACAUUCGCAUUAUAGGGGUCCCAGAAGGAGAAGAGAGAGAGAAAGGACCAGAGAAAAUAUUUGAAGAGAUUAUAGUCGAAAAUUUCCCUAACAUGGGAAAGGAAAUAGCCACCCAAGUCCAGGAAGCCCAGCGAGUCCCAUACAAGAUAAACCCAAGGAGAAACACGACUAGACACAUAGUAAUCAAACUGGCAAAAAUUAAAGACAAAGAAAAAUUAUUGAAAGCAGCAAGGGAAAAAUGACAACAUACAAGGCAACUCCCAUAAGGUUAACAGCUGAUUUCUCAGCAGAAACUCUACAAGACAGAAGGGAGUGGCAUGAUAUACUUAAAGUGCUGAAAGGGAAGGACCUAUAACCAAGAUUAUUCUACCUGGCAAGGAUCUCAUUCAGAUUCGAUGGAGAAAGCAAAAGCUUUACAGACAAGCAAAAGCUAAGAGAAUUCAUCACCACAAAACCAGCUGUACAACAAAUGCUAAAGGAACUUCUCUAAGUAGGAAACACAAGAGAAGAAAAGGACCUACCAAAACAAACCCAAAACAAUUAAGAAAAUGGUAAUAGGAACAUACAUAUCGAUAAUUACCUUAAACGUGAAUGGAUUAAAUGCUCCAACCAAAAGACACAGGCUUGCUGAAUGGAUACAAAAACAAGGCAUAUAUAUAUAUGUUGCCUACAAGAGACCCACUUCAGACCUAGGGUUACAUACAGACUGAAAGUGAGGGGAUGGAAAUAGAUAUUCCAUGCAAAUGGAAAUCAAAAGAAAGCUGGAGUAGCUAUACUCAUAUCAGAUAAAAUAGACUUUAAAAUAAAGAAUGUUACAAGAGACAAGGAAGGACACUACAUAAUGAUCAAGGGAUCAAUCCAAGAAGAAGAUACAACAAUUAUAAAUAUAUAUGCACCCAACAUAGGACCACCUCUGUACAUAAGGCAACUGCUAAGAGCUAUAAAAGAGGAAAUUGACAGUAACACAAUAAUAGUGGGGGACUUUAACACCUCACUUACACCAAUGGACAGAUCAUCCAAAAUGAAAAUAAAUAAGGAAACAGAAGCUUUACAUGAAACAAUAGACCAGAUAGAUUUAAUUGAUAUUUAUAGGGCAUUCCAUCCAAAAACAGCAGAUUACACUUACUUCUCAAGUGCACAUGGAACAGUCUCCAGGAUAGAUCACAUCUUGGGUCACAAAUCAAGCCUCAGUAAAUUUAAGAAAAUUGAAAUCAUAUCAAGCAUCUUUUCUGACCACAGUGCUAUGAGAUUAGAAAUGAAUUACA